This 1693-nucleotide long non-coding RNA is filed under the name Anas platyrhynchos platyrhynchos (common mallard). Its description in RNAcentral is "lncRNA (ENSAPLG00000018093.1)". The record is from RNAcentral. Lineage: Eukaryota; Metazoa; Chordata; Aves; Anseriformes; Anatidae.
GCCACAUGAAGCAGAGUGGGGGCUGGGGGGUGAGCUAACAGGGUUCGUUCUUCCUCUCGUUGCAUUUAAAAAUAUGUGUCUUUCUUUGGUUCUGCUUCUGUCAGUUAUUGUCAGCUAUAUCCAGAAAAUAUAAUGUAUAGUCUCUAUGCCCUGUGGAAUUUUGGAGAGUGCAUGCUUUCAUCAGAGUCUUCACAAAGUGCUCACAACUGGUGGUCCCUCCUUACCUGGGUCGAUGCUCCUGUUUCUAUCUUGAGGUGCCCUGUGUGCAGUGCUAGUCCAAACUGUGUGUGUGUGAAAGCCAGCACAUCACCAGUUCUAAACAGGUUCUGUAUAUCUCUUCAGUUCUUCAUACCUGGGGCUAGAAUUAAAGAUGCCAGUACAACCACCAAAAGAUGUUAAGCGCUCAGAACCGGUUUCAAUUGGAGUUGAGCACUGAAGUACAAGGGUAGACUACAAAAUGCACAAUGUUCAAUGUUAUCUGAUGGUCACAAGGGAUCCUAAAACAUUGUACGUAAAGAUAUGGGAUAUACUUUAAAAGAUAUCCACUGUAUCUUAGGUAAGACUACUGAUGUGAAACAUCUAGCCUCCUCAGAAGAAAGAAUUAUAACAAAUCCUGCAAAUAUUUGUCCUCAUAAACAUUUCUGUUUUUUUUUUUUUUUUUUUUGUUUUUUGUUUUUUUUUUGCUGAAGAACUUGAACACCCACAUGUGGUAGUACUUAAAGUGAGGGAACUGGAACCUUUUGAAUUUUUUCAAGCUACUUUCACAAUCAGCAGAGAGCUGUGAAGCGAAAGGUUGACAUAUGGGUCACUUUUGCUGAUAUACUUGCUAGAUCACAAGCAGCUGCCACAAAAUUUGUUUCAAGGACAUAGAAAUCAUUGGGUUCCAUUAAGAGGGCUGCACACAUCUUAAUCUGCAAAACUGUAUACCUAAGUUUGAAAGUGGUCUGCUUCACUAACUAGAAAACACACAGAACAAAAACACCUUUGUAGGUCUUUCAAAAGAAUUGAUUUGCUAACUGUUAGAUAUUUUGAUGCAUUUCUCCUUUGAUAAAUAGUUGGAACAAAACUGGAAUGUCUAAACUAUUCACAAAUGUAAAUUAUUUCUAGGGAAGUAAACUUCCUUCAGAAAAACGGAAGCUGCUUUUCAGACUUAAGAAAUUUCUCCUUAAAAAUAGCUUAUAUCCUUCACUGUCUUCAAAUUUUCUGCCUGUUCAGAUGGUGCAUUUACUGUGGCAAUUGUAGUCAUUCACUGCAGAAGUAUCUACAUAAGGUUUGCACUGCUUCUUUUGUUUGUGUUUGCAUGGAUCAUGUAGACAGCAUACAAUCUGUUUAUGGUAAGGAAAAAGGUUGGUAUGACUUGUAUGUAUGUCUUGCAUAAUGAUUCUUCUCCAUUGUCAUAUUUUUGCUGCCUAAAAAGUUAUUACUAACAUUUUCAUUUGUAAAACCAGCACAAUGGUGGGAAAGUGAGCUGAACUAUCCUGUGAUGCAUGGAUUAGAGGUGGCUAUACUUUGACCGAUGGCCCGUAUUACUGCAGUGGACACAACUUUGCACUUGAGCUUAUGUUUGCUGAGCUGACAAAAGUUGGUGAGAGACAGUGAAGAUAAAAGCUGAAUUAAAAUUUGUAAAAAUAAUAAUAAUAAUAAUAAUAAUAAUAAUAAUAAUAAUAAUAAUAAUAAUAAUAAUAAACCUUCC